ACUACGGGAGGCAGCAGUGGGGAAUAUUGGGCAAUGGGCGCAAGCCUGACCCAGCAACGCCGCGUGAAGGAAGAAGGCUUUCGGGUUGUAAACUUCUUUUCUGAGGGACGAAGAAAGUGACGGUACCUCAGGAAUAAGCCACGGCUAACUACGUGCCAGCAGCCGCGGUAAUACGUAGGUGGCAAGCGUUAUCCGGAUUUAUUGGGUGUAAAGGGCGUGUAGGCGGGAAAGCAAGUCAGAUGUGAAAACUCAGGGCUCAACCCUUAGCCUGCAUUUGAACCUGUUUUUCUUGAGUGCUGGAGAGGCAAUCGGAAGUCCGUGUGUAGCGGGGAAAUGCGUAGCUAUACGGAGGAACACCAGUGGCGAAGGCGGAUUGCUGGACAGUAACUGACGCUGAGGCGCGAAAGCGUGGGGAGCAAACAGGAUUAGAUACCCGGGUAGUC
Molecule: ribosomal RNA, 443 nt
Filed under: uncultured bacterium
Lineage: Bacteria
Description: partial 16S ribosomal RNA
Rfam family: Bacterial small subunit ribosomal RNA
Source: RNAcentral